Molecule: ribosomal RNA, 777 nt
Filed under: uncultured bacterium
Lineage: Bacteria
Description: bacterial SSU rRNA
Rfam family: Bacterial small subunit ribosomal RNA
Source: RNAcentral
UGCAAGUCAAACGGGCGCAUCACAGUGGACGUGAUACUACAAAGUAUCGCGGGCAGUGUGAUGCGCCAGUGGCAAACGAGGUAGUAACACGUAGGUACGUACCCUAUAGUCAGGAAUAACCAUGGGAAACCAUGGCUAAUACUUGAUAGUCUCUUCGGAGUAAAGAUUUAUCGCUAUAGGAACGGCCUGCGAGAUAUCAGCUUGUUGGUAGUGUAAAGGACUACCAAGGCUAUGACGUCUAGGGGAGGUGAGAGCCUGACCCCCACCGAUGGCACUGCGACACGGGCCAUACUCCUACGGGAGGCCGCAGUCGAGAAUCUUCCGCAAUGGACGAAGGUCUGACGGAGCGACGCCGCGUGAUUGAUGAAGUUCUUAGGAAUGUAAAGAUCUUUUCUUGGGGAGGAAGUUUAUUGACGUUACCCAAGGAAUAAGGGGCUCCUAAACUCGUGCCAGCAGGAGCGGUAAUACGAGUGCCCCAAGCGUUACCCGGAAUCACUGGGCGUAAAGGGUGUGCAGGCGGUUAUGUUAGUCUUUCGUUAAAUCUCUUGGCUCAACCAAGAAACUGCGGAGGAAACGGCAUAACUAGAGGAUGCGAGAGGUCUAGGGAACUCAUAGUGUAGGGGUGAAAUCCGUUGAUAUUAUGGGGAACACCGAAAGCGAAGGCACUAGACUGGCGCAUUCCUGGCGCUCAUACACGAAAGCGUGGGUAGCGAACGGGAUUAGAUACCCCGGUAGUCCACGCCCUAAACGUUGUCCGUUGGCUUUUCGGAGUAUCGA